UUAGAUACCCUAUUAUUAAAAUUUAAAUUGAAAAUACUAAAAUAGUAGAUAAUUAUUUAUUGAAACUUAAAUAAUUUGGCGGUAUUUUAGUUCAUUUAGAGGAAUCUGUUUAAUAAUUGAUAAUCCACGAAUAAAUUUACUUAAUUUUUUAUUUUGUAUAUCGUUGUUAAAAAAAUAUUUUUUAAUAAUAAUAAUAUUUAAAAAUUUUGAUUAAAAAUUAAAUCAGAUCAAGAUGCAGAUUAUAAUUAAGAAUAUAAUGGAUUACAAUAAAUUUAUUUAGAUGAAUAUUAAUUUGUAAAAGUUAAUUGAAGGUGGAUUUAAA
Molecule: ribosomal RNA, 322 nt
Filed under: Spodoptera frugiperda (fall armyworm)
Lineage: Eukaryota; Metazoa; Arthropoda; Insecta; Lepidoptera; Noctuidae
Description: partial small subunit ribosomal RNA
Source: RNAcentral